AUGCCAUAUGGAUGAGCCUGGGAACUUUAAACAUGCCUCAAGAAGUGAAAGAAGAUUAUGUACAUUUCAUUAUUGAAUCAAUGAGAUAGCAGAUGCUUGUCAUCGGAAAAAUUUGACUUUUUGACCGAUUGAUUAGACAAACAAUCAAUUUUUUCGAUCUUCAACUUUAUUUUUAUUUUUUUUUGACCUGUUACAAACAUGCCAUGCUAGAGUUCUAUUGAGAUCCAAACCAGAACAUUCCUCAUAAUGCGCUGUUUAGCACAGAAUUUUAGACUGCGGGCUUUUGAUUUUGUUCAAAAACGUCGCCGACGGGACCUAAGGAUACUCGCGAGCUCUGAAGCGAGAAUUCCUCCAGUUGGCGGUUUUAAAUACUAGUACUACCCUUGACGCGAAGAGGAAGUAUAGAUGGGCGCCCCCCGUCACGAUAUUUGUAUUUAUUUUAUUUAUCUAUAUUUUUAAUGUAUCGUAGUGGUGCGGGACUUCUGGGGACUGAUCCAGUCGACUUGAGAAUGAAACUGGAGUCUUCUCAAUCGGCAUCCUUCCACCGUUCGUGCGCAAUUGAUGCCCGGCAACAGAUAGCCCCUGAAAACCCAAGCAGGGGCGGAGGAGCGAUGAUGGUUUCAAUUGGGGCGCGAGAACGAAAUGGUAGUGGAUGUUUAGCGGGAU
Molecule: small RNA, 666 nt
Filed under: Histoplasma capsulatum
Lineage: Eukaryota; Fungi; Ascomycota; Eurotiomycetes; Onygenales; Ajellomycetaceae
Also listed under: 1 other name
Description: hypothetical RNA
Source: RNAcentral